This is a non-coding RNA of Paramuricea clavata, 677 nucleotides long. Lineage: Eukaryota; Metazoa; Cnidaria; Anthozoa; Malacalcyonacea; Plexauridae. The record is from the annotation of a GenBank genome assembly.
GUGGCAACAGUGGCAGGGUACUGAAAAGGUAAUAGGUAAUGUCUUACUUGUGCACAUGCAUCCUAAAUAAAUACUGCUACAAAAACCUGGUAGUUAACAGUUAAAAGUUAAAACCAAUCACAAAUUUCAUUAUUUGAAAGUAAUAUAAAACAAAACAAGUCGGGAAAAGGAUUUUGAACCCAGGAUAUGAGACACAAUUAAUAUGAGAAUGAGUUUGAAUAAAAAGAACAAGAAAAAAGAGGAUAAAUUUAUACAAAACUGCUGUGAUAUUGUUGAAACUAGCAUUAUUAUGCAUUUGCUGUUUAUAACGGUAGUUUUUGACAUAAUGUAUUUAUGCUUUUCCAUCGAAAUGGCAAGUUAAAAUUGCCAAGUAGCCCAAGCUUUGGCAAGCUAGAAUUAUUUAAAAAAAUUAGUAAAAGAAAUAAAACUUUCGUGAAUCUUACCUGAAAACAAGAAAUAUAAUAAUCCUUUCGACGGAAUUGUUUCAUCUACAAGUAGACUAAAAAGUUAAAACUACAACACAAUUUCCUCGACUGCAAAAAUAUCAAGAUUUUCAGUCGAAACUCGAAAAUUUAAAAUUAAUAUGAUCAAAAUUUGUGCAAAAACCAGGGGGGUGAAGUAUUUUAUUUCAAGCGUAGGAUCGCGGUUGGUCAGUGGUAAUUGCCAUGAGCCGGAGG